Molecule: RNA transcript, 1428 nt
Organism: Marmota monax (woodchuck)
Lineage: Eukaryota; Metazoa; Chordata; Mammalia; Rodentia; Sciuridae
Exons: 3
Source: RefSeq, a predicted model, not a curated record
UAAAGCUGUGCUCCUAGAGAGCUGGGGGGCUGUUCUCUCACCCACAGGUUUCUGGAGAGACAGUCCCGGCUGGUUGGAAUUACAAGCUUGCUUUAAUUUAUUUUAAAUUGGAGUUGGGGGUCUUUCCGUGGUGGUUUAAGGAUGGCAGAAUCAAACCCAGGGGGCCCUUCAGAACCCUGAAGCCCUCUUACUCCACCCCCAGAAGACCUCAACAGUCCUCCCUGGGCACACCCCUGAGCCUCCAGCCCCAGGGCAGAGCAGCCCAAGCCAAGGUCACAGCCUAGGCCUGCAGCCUGCAACUUGAAGAGUGGAGUGUGUCCUUGGGGGACCUGGUAGGAGGCUGGGGGCUCCCCAGGAUGGAGUAGCAGUGACUGGAGUGGGCUCAGAGCCAUUGGUGUCGAGUGGGACUAUUUUGAUCCUCAGCAAAGAGCAGGUGGAGAAGCUGGAGGAGCACUUCCUGAAGGACCCCUUUCCAUCCCACAGUACCCUGGUGGCCCUGGACUCCUGCCUCGGCCUAGAGGAGAAACAAGUGCGACACGUGCAGGAUUGGUUUACUGUGGAACGUAAGAUAAAGCAUAAACGAGGCUAUCAUCUGUAUGCACGAGGCUAUCAUCCAUAUGCAGGACACUUGCGUCGGCCCUCACACUCAUCCUGUGCCCACUCAUCCUGGGCAGGCCCAUCCUGGUCCAAAUUCUGUUGUAUAUGCCCAUCCUGCCAAGAUAACCACUCUCCCAGCUCCAGAAGACCCAGAAGGUUCUCUAUUCGGGUCCAGGCCUGUGGGAACCUCCGGGGUGGUUCCCAGCAGAGUUCCUGGCCCAUGAGGGGAGAGGAAAAGGAACUAGAAGCCAUCUUGAAGAGACUCUCCACUGCAGAGCCUGAGGAAGGUGACCUUGAAGACACAGACAAAUCAGGUCCAGGAGAUUUCUGAGUGGAUGGGGGUUCUGCACCUGCCCCAUUCCACAGGUCCCACAGGUCCUGUCUCUGGCUACCAUUCAUCACCUGUCAUUUGAGUCACCUGGGAGUGUCUGGGUCUCCAGUCUGAGUGGAAUGGGUGUUCCUGGGUGCACUUCCUUCCCUUGAUGCUGCCCCCGCCCCUGGCCAAUGUUAUCACUAUCUUUCCUCGUUUAUGGGGGUCUUGGUCUGCAGCCCAGUGCAGCGGUUGCCUGCAUCUCCAGGAAUGAAGGACCUCUGCUCUCCCACAAGGAUUUCCCCACAGUCUCUGCUGAGCCACACCCACAUCAGAUCCCCACCCCCAGCUGCCUCUUUUAGAGUCCAUAUCCAAUCCAUUUCCAUCAUUUUGAAAUAGUUUGGAGCUUUGUCUUAAUUUAGGUAUUUUUUCCCUCUUAUUUCCUUUUGGUCUUUGCUUUGUUACUUGUUUGAGGUUAUUUUUCUGCUGAUUUUCCUCAAUUUUCAAUAAAGUUUCUUUUG